UAUAAACUACAUACAAACUCAGUUUCCAUUAUUUAAGUGCUAAUGUGAACCUUCCUAUGCUUUAAUGUGGCAUCGUUGUACAAUCCGUGACUGUGAUGGGAAAGAAAACCAGACAGCAGAAGGUCAGACUGCCUGAGAAUAGAUCACUGAGGAAAAGGUAGCGCAGAUACUGUUUUUUAGUAAAAACGGGGAGUGUUAAUUCUAAGACAAACACAUUUAUACAAGCAUGUAGUCAACUACUGUUCAGUCCACAAAUAUACAGGAAUUUUGUGUAAAUUCUGACAAGGCCAUGCGCUGUUUUGGUUGAAACCAUGUGGGACUCAUUUGCAAUGGAACUUCUGGCUCCGAUUCCAAGGCCUGGUUUUGAUGUUCGGAUAGGAACGAUACACAUUUGAUCAACGGCAAGAUAUUCCAAGGUAAACGUGCUGCGUGUCACAAUGGCCCCCACACCCACCUUUCCCCAACAAACACACACACUUUAGCAGAAAUGUACAGUACAUGGAGUUUCCUUGUUCCAUAUAUUUGAAUAAUUCUUCUUCUACACCCACAAACUCCCCCACAAAUGUCCAUUUUGUAUUUAUUUUUGAGAAAGCUGAGCUCGCCUUUUCCUGGCAUUGUAUUCCAGUAACUGGACUCGUUUCUAAAAAGUGUCUAUAAAGUUACAGUGAGCGUUUCUCCGUUUGGCUUCAACGGGCAGAUCUGUGUCUGCUUUUCUCUCCUGCUUGGAUCAAAUUAGCUGAGGGGCCUGUUGAGGGAGAACUUAGGCAACACAAGGUUCGACUGCAAAACUCCUCUGUUGCGUCAGCUCCUCAUACAGUAAUGCCAAGUCUUUCAGAAAGAAAUAAGGAAAGGAUCAUAAAGACCUCGUGAUGGCUGUCUGAACUAACCUGUGACCUCUGAAACCGGCAGCCAAAAGAACAUCUCCGCUGAUUAGGGUUUUAGUCAGAAGUAAAGGCUGAAGGGGCUUCUUGGGGAAGGGUUUUUACCAUUAACUCGCUCGUCAACAUGUUUUUUUGCACUGUAUUUUCGACUUUCACACAGAACGAAAAAAAUACAACCUGCCAACUUUUUCCGAGCUUUUGCAUUGCGAUCAAAGACAUAAACCAAUCCCAUUGCGUGAGACAGGCGUAUUCCAAAUGUAGAAAAUAGUGCUCGACAAUGGAGACAACAGAGACUGCUAUUCAUUUUUGAACCUUUACAAAGGCAGCGCACACCAGAUCCACGCCAUCUGUCCUUGCCUUUCACAAUAAAAGCCCCACACAUAGGCUAUACUACACUAACUCUCUGCAGGAGGGAACUCGAUAAAAUAGCAUACAGCCGCUUCGGUUAUAGAACAAACGGACGCUGCUCUGAGUCAAUAGAGUUCCAAUAGUCAGUGCAACUGUUGUGUACUCGCAUCGCCGAAGAUAUGAAGGGUUUUGCUCCAAAAUGUUUGCGAGUUGUUCUUAGUCAGAGACAGUCGAUUCCCCUCCGCAGCCCCUCAUACUCAAAUGUAAUAACAUGUCACUGGCAUUGGUUGUUCACUUAAUGUGUUUUUUUACAGUUCUCAUAGUGAAAACAGCAGUGUCGAGCAAAGGUCCCUCGAGCAGCCAAAUUUAAUGGUUGCCCAAUCCAACUCCCAGAGAUUAAAACGCAUCCAAAACCAACAGCGGCGUGCCAAAAGCAAAUGAAAUUGCUGCUUAUUACACUGCUAGUAAAGUAAUCAUUCCCAUUUGGGUUCUUGUGAUCGGGUGUGUUUGUUUUUGAGUGUUUCUCAGUAACGCCCCCACCAUGUUACCAAUGCUGUGAUAAUGAUCAGCGGCUAUGGGAACACCGUUGGCUUUAAAUGAGUGGUAAAGAACAAGGAAAACAACGCCCCACACACAUAUAGCAACAUGCAGACAGCGUGGCACCAAAUUACCAAACGUUGCAUCACUAUGCUGUUCACGCUUUGAUCUGAGAACAGCUCCAAGCCUUUUGACACUCACUACGCUGUCCUGCAGCACUGCGUUAAGAAAGAAGAACUACACUUUGUAUUUUCUCAGAUUUCCACUGGCAGGUUUUAAAGUCAAAUGGACGCCUCCAGCUGGUCCAGGAUCCUCAUGGGCCACAACGACCUUAACUCCAGUAAGUGGUUUCAUGGCACACAAAGGGAAAGUUCAGCCGUGUUUGCCAGAGGCUCAAUCUCGGGGUUUUAUCUGGAACCGAUGGAUGAACAACAGCCUUAAACUUUAGGGCUUUGAGGAAUUGUCUCCAAGCGUAUAAAAGUACAUCAUGUUACAUCAAAGUCUGCUUAUAAAUCUUGGGGAAUGCAACACGUUUUAUAAAUCUUCAUUUGGCUCCAGAGAGAGAGAGAGAUCUUACAUUCUGUUGAGCUUUGAACUAUUCGCUCAACUGAACAAGACAGUCCCUUAACGUUACCUUGGAGGUUUGCUUCUUUUUAUUGACAAUGUCCAUCACUGAAAUAUUUUUGGGGUUUUCCACAUUUCAUAAUCUGCAAAGGCCACUGGCUGUUAGCUUGCUAGCUUCUGACAGUCAUUUGGAUUUUAGCAUCCAGCCAAGUGAUUUAGAAGCGGAUACGUUUUAAACACCUUCAGCGAGAGUCGCCCCAAAGAACACAAAACCGAGCCAGAAACAACUUCCAACAGGAACGUUGUGUUCUCAUCACAAGCAAAUAUAUCAAUACUUCACACCGUUGGAAAUAUUAAUGUUACGAUGCGUGGCGUGGCGUCGGACCCAAAUGCAGCGAGACCAGGAGGUCCAGCGGGAACUUAUUUAUUGUCAGGAACCAGAAAUGGAGGCAGAUGGGGGAAUGGCAGAGAAAUCCAGGUGGGGGAAUCCAGGCAGGGAAACGGCAGACAGACGGGAGAAUCGGGGGGAUGGAUGCCUGCAAGGACGCAGAAUACACGGUCAGAGGAACGUAGAAAAACAACAAACCAAUAUCUCUGAGACAUUCGUCGUCAGCACAGACAAGCGUAAUUACUGCCAGGUUAGUGGAGACAACGAUCUGGCAACGAGUAGAUGUUGAACCGGGGUAGAUGUGGACCCGGGGUAGAUUAGGAACCGGGGUAGAUUAGGAACCGGGGUAGAUGUGGAACCGGGGUAGAUUAGGAACCGGGGUAGAUGUAGAACCGGGGUAGAUAUGGAACCGAGGUAGAUUAGGAACCGGGGUAGAUUAGGAACCGGGGUAGAUAUGGAACCGGGGUAGAAUAGGAACCGGGGUAGUUGAGGAACCGAG
This is a long non-coding RNA of Gasterosteus aculeatus aculeatus (three-spined stickleback), 3217 nucleotides long. The record is from Ensembl. Lineage: Eukaryota; Metazoa; Chordata; Actinopteri; Perciformes; Gasterosteidae.